This is a long non-coding RNA of Serinus canaria (Common canary), 2681 nucleotides long. RefSeq lists it as uncharacterized. The transcript has 3 exons. NCBI's taxonomy places the organism in Eukaryota, Metazoa, Chordata, Aves, Passeriformes, Fringillidae. The record is from RefSeq and is a predicted model, not a curated record.
UCCAUCCUGCACAUGAACACUUCCAGGAAUCUGACAGCCACAGUUUAUCUGGGCAACCUAUGCCAGGGCCUCACAGGGAAGAAUUCCUUCCCAAUAUCCCAUGUGACCCUGCCUUCUGUCAGUGUGAAGCCAUUCCCCCUUGUCCUGUCACUCCAGCCCUUGUAAAUAGUGUCCAUCUUUCUUGCAGGCUCCCUUCAGGCACUGCAAGGCCGCCCUUGGGUCACCCUGCAGCUUUUCUUUUCCAGGCUGAAAACAUCCUCAUUCCCCUAGCUUUUCCUCACAGCAGAGGUGCUCCCUCCCUCUGCUAACAGGUCUAUGUUCUCUCAGAGCUGAGGACCCCAGGGCUGGAUGCAGCAUUCCAGGUGGUCUGGGAAGACAGUCCUGCUGUCACUGCUGCAUCCAAGAUGGAUAAGGGGGAGAGAGCUGGCACCAGCUUCUCCUAAGUGCACACGAGGGGAAGGUAAGUCAUGCUGAACCCAGAAAAAAUUUUUUAGGAUGAAGCGAAAUGAGUAGGAAAAGGCAAGCUGGAAUCCCAAACCCCAAUGGUGGAGGAAGCCAGGGAGGGAGUCACCCUCCUGUUGCUGGCUGAUGCCUUUGUAAACUGUGCCUUGUAAGAGCCUUGCAGGUGACAGACUCCAGCCCUGAGAGCAGCACAGCCUCUUGACAGCAGCACUCUCAACCCUUCUGGGCUUUCCAGGUAAAUCCCGUUUUAUGCACAUUUCCAAAGGAAUGCUGACCUCGGUGCCCAAGUGCUUCACAUUCCAGUCUUUCACGGCCUGCUUGCCAGGUUUCUCUUCAAAACCUUCUUUAAAUAAGCAGGCAAAUGUUAUAGGAGAAAAAAAAAAUUAGAAUAACCAUAGGAAUUUAUCUUGAGCACUUAUCUCUAUUUGUGCUUUCUGUUUAACUGAGUAAGCAGAUCCCUAAAUCUCAGGGACCGAGGGAAUGUUAGGGGCAUUCUUCUCCUCUGAGCCAAGCAGGCUGCAAGGAAACAUCUCUUGAAGGGAUGCACAUCUUCCACCCAUGUUUCCUUGGAUUUGCUUGCUUCCAAAGGAAAAAAACACCCACUGCUGCAUGUCUGGCAGCUUGUCAGGUUCUGUUUGUGAGAGUUUCCUUUAGAGGGCACCGUGUUGUUGGGCAACUGCUGGCACUGAGGUUUCCAUGGAAUCUCAGAGCUUCCCUAGUUACAUGUCCAAUCAGAGCCUCUGCACCUAUGGGAGACUAUAAAGGUCAUCCUAGGACAAGAGAAUUUGCAUUUAUUCACUCGACAGAACUGCUGUGGCAUGAAGUUGCCUUAGGAGAGGGAAUCUGCCUCUGUAAAAACAGCAAAUCUCAGGAGGUGCCUUCAUAUUGCUGAGGACCAAGAAUUUAUCUGCCUUGGAAUCCUGGCAGGAUGCCUUUUUCUUAAAGAAUGUUAAACAGCUGGAAUGCCCUGUGUUUACCGAGCUGUGCUGAAAAGCAGAGAACUUCAGCCCAGGACCCAAGCACUUGGCCGGCCCGAGGGCCCUUCAGAGGAAUUCUUGAGGCUCUGCAGCACGCUGGAUAAAGGGAGAUUACAGAGUGCCUCCCCCUUAUGUAAGGCUGCAGCUCCCUGCCAGCCCCUGGGGCCGAGGAGAGCCCUUCAUGUGACCCUCAGCCAUCCCCAGCAGCCCGGUAUUAAUGUGAGACAUAAAGCCUGCACGUUACAUAAGCGUCUCUCCUGGCCAAGUGUUUCCUACUGCAGAAACCGAGGUUUAAUUUUAACUUGCCGCUUAAAAAAAUGAAACGUUCUGUGGGUAGGAGGAAGUGUAGGGGUGGGAACGGAGGUUAAGCGUGUGCCAGCAGGAAUGUGCCAGAAAGAUCAGUGAUGUGUUUCUGUUAGAUUUACGUGGCCAACUUAAGUCUGACAGCAUCUGUGACAAAGUGCUCCAAGACCCAUUCAGCGCUUUGGCUAAUGCAGCCGACAGGAGAAUUGCAAACGUCAUGAAAUGCUUUUUAAUUACACCAUUGCUGCCCAGUAAAACGCUGGCUUUUAAAGGUGUCCUAUAAACAAUAGCGUAAUUUUAAUUUACUUAGAAAUGCACUGACCUGGCAUUUUGACUUAGUCUGAAGGACAGAGAGUGGAAAAUGCAGUUUCAGCAUUUAAAAACCUGAGGGAAGCAGCUGACUGUCAGUGUGGCCACCUAAGGCGUUAGAGCUGAAACCCCUGACUUGCCGGGUGGAAAGUUAGUGUUGUGUGGGAUUGCAGCCUGUUUCGAUGUGCUGAAUUUUCCUGAUAAAUCUGAAAGUCAUCAGGCUUUCCUCUGGCCUACCUGCAGCAGUGUGAGGUUUUUGGGAUGGCCAAUUCCCCUUGCGGCAGGGGAGAAUCCCUGGAGGUCAUGCUGCCUGUCCUGCGCCCCCUCCAAAAUCUGGCUUCUUACUGACCUAAACAGAGCCAGAUUUUUGUGUGAAAAUUAUACCCUGGGAUUGCAAUUUCUGCCAUGAAGAGCACACGGAUGUGACUAUAUCUGUCUGCCAAGGGUUUCUUAAAAAAACCGCAUUUUUUUUUACCUCAGAAGUUUAGUUUUUUUACCUCAGCCGCCCAUAGCGUCACCUGAGGGGGGCCCCUCCUUUGCCCACCGCUUGCCCUCACCCAGUCUAGUUAGAAAUUACUAACAAAUAUUCAGAAAUAUUAGAAUCCCUUUUGUCACGUUUUCCUAAAGAAC